GAUGAACGCUGGCGGCGUGCCUAAUACAUGCAAGUCGAGCGAACGGACGAGAAGCUUGCUUUUCUGAUGUUAGCGGCGGACGGGUGAGUAACACGUGGAUAACCUACCUAUAAGACUGGGAUAACUUCGGGAAACCGGAGCUAAUACCGGAUAAUAUUUUUAACCGCAUGGUUCAAAAGUGAAAGACGGUCUUGCUGUCACUUAUAGAUGGAUCCGCGCUGCAUUAGCUAGUUGGUAAGGUAACGGCUUACCAAGGCAACGAUGCAUAGCCGACCUGAGAGGGUGAUCGGCCACACUGGAACUGAGACACGGUCCAGACUCCUACGGGAGGCAGCAGUAGGGAAUCUUCCGCAAUGGGCGAAAGCCUGACGGAGCAACGCCGCGUGAGUGAUGAAGGUCUUCGGAUCGUAAAACUCUGUUAUUAGGGAAGAACAUAUGUGUAAGUAACUGUGCACAUCUUGACGGUACCUAAUCAGAAAGCCACGGCUAACUACGUG
This 497-nucleotide ribosomal RNA is filed under the name uncultured bacterium. RNAcentral describes it as "partial 16S ribosomal RNA". It matches the Rfam family "Bacterial small subunit ribosomal RNA", at positions 28 to 507 of the family's 1533-position model. The record is from RNAcentral.